UCACGACAGAUCUCAUCUCAUCUCCUUCUCUGCUUUUUUUUCCCCGAUUCUCUCUUCACUCUAACCUCUCAUCCUCAUAUCCAAUAUCUCUCUUCUCUCUCAUCUCUCUCAACGCCUCUCUCAUCUCGCCCAUCUCUCUCAACGCCUCUCUCAUCUUACCACCACCGUGUCUCCUCCUCGUCUCACCACCACCGUUUUCCCCCUUGUCUCACCACCACCACGGUCGACAUAGGAGGAGCCAAGGUUCAUGGUGGCUGGAGGAAGCAAGGUUCAUGGCUGCUGGAAGAGGGACAAGGCUAUGGAGGAGGCGGCAGGAGUUUUUUCUUUAGGUUUAGGUUAGGUUUGGUUAAGUGUAAACCGAGUUAGGAAAAUUGUAGUGGUCUGAUUUUAUUUUUUAAUUUCUGGUUUAGUUUUGUAAACCAGAAUUAAUCUGUAAACCAAAUAAAAUUUAUUUUAUUUUCA
Long non-coding RNA from Brassica oleracea var. oleracea, 462 nucleotides. RefSeq lists it as uncharacterized. The transcript is spliced from 2 exons. NCBI's taxonomy places the organism in Eukaryota, Viridiplantae, Streptophyta, Magnoliopsida, Brassicales, Brassicaceae. The record is from RefSeq and is a predicted model, not a curated record.